UACGGGGGGGGCAAGCGUUGUUCGGAAUUACUGGGCGUAAAGGGCUCGUAGGCGGCCAACUAAGUCGGAUGUGAAAUCCCCAGGCUCAACCUGGGAACUGCAUCCGAUACUGGAUGGCUUGAAUUCGGGAGAGGGAUGCAGAAUUCCAGGUGUAGCGGUGAAAUGCGUAGAUAUCUGGAGGAAUACCGGUGGCGAAGGCGGCCUGCUGGGCUGUUGCUGACGCUGAGGCGCGACAGCGUGGGGAGCAAACAGG
RNAcentral lists this ribosomal RNA (253 nucleotides) under uncultured bacterium. RNAcentral describes it as "partial 16S ribosomal RNA". It matches the Rfam family "Bacterial small subunit ribosomal RNA", at positions 524 to 776 of the family's 1533-position model. The record is from RNAcentral.